CCUACGGGGGGCAGCAGUGAGGAAUAUUGGUCAAUGGACGAGAGUCUGAACCAGCCAUGUCGCGUGAAGGAUGACUGCCCUAUGGGUUGUAAACUUCUUUUAUAUGGGAAUAAAAUGUUCCACGUGUGCGCUUUUGUAUGUACCCUAUGAAUAAGGAUCGGCUAACUCCGUGCCAGCAGCCGCGGUAAUACGGAGGAUCCGAGCGUUAUCCGGAUUUAUUGGGUUUAAAGGGUGCGUAGGUGGAUGGUUAAGUCAGUUGUGAAAGUUUGGGGCUCAACCCUAAGAUUGCAGUUGAAACUGGCAGUCUUGAGUGCAGUAGAGGUAGGCGGAAUUCGUGGUGUAGCGGUGAAAUGCUUAGAUAUCACGAAGAACUCCGAUUGCGAAGGCAGCUCACUGGACUGCAACUGACGCUGAGGCUCGAAAGUGUGGGUAUCGAACAGGAUUAGAUACCCGAGUAGUC
Molecule: ribosomal RNA, 460 nt
Filed under: uncultured bacterium
Lineage: Bacteria
Description: partial 16S ribosomal RNA
Rfam family: Bacterial small subunit ribosomal RNA
Source: RNAcentral